RNAcentral lists this long non-coding RNA (1573 nucleotides) under Paramuricea clavata. The record is from RNAcentral. Lineage: Eukaryota; Metazoa; Cnidaria; Anthozoa; Malacalcyonacea; Plexauridae.
CUCUUUGGCAAGCAACGAGUAUGCGCAAUAUUUCCCAGAGUGAGUGGGUGAUAAGCAUGUGUUUUGACUAGUUGUUCACACUAGCCACAUGACACCCAAGGCCAUGUACACUUGACAGAUGUUUGGUUCCAACUCAGAGGAGGAGUGAGGACUAUACCGGCAUGCAACGCGGUCGGGCGCGGUUUUUUACAUAUUACCGAUUUCUCGCUCUGCGCCGUCAUUGUUCGGUCGGCUCUCGCUGUGUUUACACCUCGAGGAUUCGAGCGAUUCGGAAAGAUUUAUAGAAAAAAAAUUGUAAAAUGGUGAAUUUUUGCACUAUUCGUGGAAAGAAAGCUUCGUUUUUGGGUGGACACGAGCUUCUGUUUGUUCACUGUGUGUCAAAACAGCCACUAAUCUUGAAUCCGGAAGGACUACCGUGUGAUGAACUUGAAAUGUCGCGAGGUUCAUGUUUAUAUAGUUUUACGGAAUACAGAUAGUUUGAAGAAUAGUCCUUUGUCAAGCUGUGGUUAACGGGAUAAAAAUUGAUGAAAUUGUUCCCUGAUUGCGGUAAUCCUGCACUGGUACAAAUUCACUCUAGUUGUGUUUUUAAGGUAAGAUGAUUUAUAUAAAAUAGAAAUAUAAAAAUGCUCUCGUACUGUAUAAAUUAUAUAAAAUACAGCAUCUAUGAUGUAAUUCUCGAUGUGAUUGAUAUAUUUCGCUUAAAAUUGUUGUAAUACAGCAGUAUUAAACGUAUUUUUAUUUCAUAUCAUGUAGUUCUUCGACCCUAAUGAUCCACACCGAAUGAUGGAAGAAGCGCCCAGCGGUAGCAGUGUUGAUGGUGAAACUGAACUGGAGGGGCAGUGAAUGUAGAGAAUGAAAUGGAGGAAAUUCAGCACUAUCACAACACUAUAUAUAUAUGUCUUCACUACUGUGUGAUGCAUUGCAAGGAUUUAUACUGAUCAACCAGUUAUUUAUGCUCAAAUGAUCAACCAGUUGUCUAUUAUUUUACUCUGCCUAACACCAGAUUAUUUUACUGUUUAACACUAGACUCAUUACUCAUCAGGGGGAGAGUGCUACCACUCAAUGGGUUAAAAAAACAUUCAAACAAAAUGUUUGGCAGAAGAUGCAAAAUUGUUUAUUGGUGUCUGGUGUGAUACUGAUAUUUCUUUUAUCUGUAAGGAUAGACCUGGGGAGCUUCUAGUAGUACAGUCUUGUUUUCCUGUACUGCAUGUGUUUUCCUCACUUCCCUGAUUAUACCAUAAGUAUUGUAUCCCAUGGACACCAUCUUAUCAGUUCUGCAGUUUUUUGACAAUCUACCGUAAACCUCUGACUAUAGUAUAAGCCCUGGGCUUAUAUUCUUUCGUAAACGAUUUUUGAUGGGCUUACACAAGGGGGCUUAUACAUGGACAAUCUUUUGUGUUAGUAAUAAACAAGUCAGUCAUAAACAGGAAAAUAAACAUGUAUUAAUAACACACUUUGAUUAACAUAGUAACCUAUAAAGACAAUGAGGGGGGCUUAUAUUCAGGGUGGGGCUUAUAUUUGGAAUGAGGUGAGCGUUAGUACAUGUGGUGGGCUUAUACAUGGGGAGGGGGGC